GCAUGCGCGUCACUAGACGACACGGCUGUCUUCUUUCCUGGAGAAUUUCUCAAGGACUGCUGGCUGGAAACUUAACGGCUAAUGUGGAUCUGACCGUAGUUUGCCAAAUUAAGAAAACGUUUUUACCCUGUUGAAGAUUUGCUUUAACUUCAAAAGUGAUGACAAGAAAGUAUGGACACCCCUUCAGGACCAACCUGAUAAGUCACUGGUAAGGUCUUAAUUUCUCCAUAAAGCUUCCUAAUAUUUUCUAGUAUUAAGGUCUUCAUAUCCCGUAACCCGCUUUGCAUCACCUGCAGAAAUCCUAGGCUUAGCUGUUUGGUAGCAUCUGGCUGUGUCAUUUGUUCUAUUAUUUUUCGCAGGCUCCCACCUAGAGUCCUGUUAUAGUGAAGGCUGGCUUCCACUAGUUUCCAUUAUUGCUUAUGGGUCUGUCCCUUUCCUCCAGAAAAGUCCUAUCUUUUUAAAGAUGUAAUGUCAGAUGAAGCUUAUGAGCCAACCACAGGCCAUUUUUUUAAUCGACAUCUCCUGAAGGAAAUUUUCUGCCUUAGCUGGCCUGACUUACUUGUAUUUUGUGGCAGAAUCCAGUCUUUCUAGGAAUCAUCCAGUUUUAAAAAUCAUCUCAGUGGUUGUAGAGCUGACAGCAGAAUUCUCUCUACCUAUUUUCUCCGCCAUGGAGAAAGCAUUCCCAGCAUCAUUUAUACAAAUGCUAUGCACAUUUCCACUUCCCAGCAAUACUCAUCCAGCAGUUUAGAUGCCAUGGGAGGGUACUCCAUAGUUCAGUUCUAUGGUAUGCUUUGAUACGGGCAUGGCUGGACACUGCACAUUGUUCAGCAAUUCCAAAUGGUAGUCUUUAGUAAGAGAAAAAACAUAAUUAGAGUCACUUAACAUAUUAUGUGGCAGCGGGGGGUGGGGAAAUAUCCUUUAAGAAGUAGCUUUCACAUACAAAUGGAGUCCAAAAUAGUGAACUUUUCCCAUUGGAUAUUUAUAUGAAUACAACCAUGGAUUAAAUGCCAAUAGGAGAAAGUGUUUUAGAGACAUGCUUAAAAUCUGGAGAAAGAAAACAAAAAACAAAAAAAACUCCUGCAGCCAGCUCAGUGUCUGCCCAAACAGCCACCCAGUUUUGUGCUUGAAACCCAGGGCCCUGGUGGCGUAGGCACUGGAGGGAAUCUCCUGGUCAGUGGGUUGUGAAGACCGUGGGAAAAGCAUAGUAUCUGGGCUAGAAUGCACCAUUCUUCAUGGCACAGUCCCUCACGGCUUCCCUUGGCUACCAGAGGGAGUUCCUCGACCCCUUGCACUUCCCGGGUGAGGUGAUGCCCCACCCUGCUUCUGCUUGCCCUUCGUGGCUGCACCCACUGUCUAAUCAGUCCCGAUGAGAUGAGCUGGGUACCUCAGUUGGAAAUGGAGAAAUCACCCACCUUCUACAUUGAACUUGCUGAAUGCUGCAGAGAGCUGUUCCUAUUGGGCCAUCUUGACUAAUUGCAAGAAUAUUUUUAAGAGCCUUUCCAGGGCUUCUUGCUUUCUCUAGGCAGACUCUCAGAAGCUCUGUCCCAGACACAUUAAAGCAGUAAUAAGCAACUUAAUAUCUUAAUCCUGCCCUGAGAAAGGUACUUCAUACUUUAUAGAGUUUUGAGGCACUAAGAAUCAACAAAGGGGAAAAAAGUUCCUUAUCCUAAUUGAGUGGCCUAGGAAACAACAUGUAGUAUUAUGACUAUGUGUUUUAAUUCUGUCAAUUAGAACUCAAAAUUUUCUUUUUAGUCAGAUCAGUUCUAUAGUUUUGAUAAAUAUCACAAAACAGAAAUGAGAGUACAAUGCAUUUACUCAUGGGUGCUUAGACAUCAGAAGUCUCAUUAUUUUCUUUGCCCUCUUUCCUAGCUGUUAAUAUAAUGCUAAGAUUAAGUUGACACAUUGACUAGACUGUGAUCUCUCUUUGCCCUCUGCUUUAUUUAAAGAUUUUCCUUUGGCGAGCAGUUAUAUAUCAGGCACUCCCCAAACCCAACAUCAGAGACACUCAAAAUUGCCGUGAAUAUUCUAGUAGCAAUCUCAAAAGUUUUAAGUUCUUUUGUAUAUAGAUAGACUUGACACAUUCUCUCAAAGCAUAUACUGUUUCUGGCUUUUCACUGUCUACAAUGCCAGUGCCGGUAUUGACUGUAAGAGCUUCCCAUGGCAUGAAUAAACAGUGAAAAGGUCCAACAGAGCUUAAAGGUAUAUAGAAAAAAUAAUAGAAAGUUAAAAAAAGAUUAAAGAAAACAAUGAGUAUAUUUGUAGAAAUAAGUGAGGUUAGUUCUAUUUGAUUUGUAGUGGCAACCAUAGUCAAUUUUUUUUUUUUUUUCUUGAGAGGGAGUCUCGCUCUGUCACCCAGGCUGGAGUACAGUGGUGCAAUCUUGGCUCACUGCAAGCUCCGCCUCACAAGUUCAUGUCAUUCUCCUGCCUCAGCCUCCUGAGUAGCUGGGACUACAGGCGCCCGCCACCACGCCCGGCUAGUUUUUUGUAUUUUUAGUAGAGACGGGGUUUCACCGUGUUAGCUGGGAUGGUCUUGAUCUCCUGACCUCAUGAUACACCCGCCUCGGCCUCCCAAAGUGCUGGGAUUACAGGCUUGAGCCACCAUGCCCGGCCUAUAGUCAAAUUUUUUAAUAAAAUUGCUAACCUACACUUAGUAUAUCCAAUAACGAAUGCACUAUUUUGAUUUUCAAUUCUGAUUUUAUGCAUGUUUGAGUAAUCGAUGCAUACAUAUGUAAUAUUUUAAUGUUAGUAAUGAUAAAGAACAACUACAAUUUAUUUAAAUAAUGCUUCAGGUACUUUUUCUAUUCAAGUUAUUUACUUAAUCCAAAGGGAAUAAAUUUUUUGAAAAUGUAGUAAUAGUGAUCCUGGAAAAAUGUCAUGUUCUAUUUAUAUGCCUACAGUAUUUACUCCAUUUCUAUCUCUUCCCUUUGAUCUGUUUGAUGGCUAUGCCUGCCUUAUAUUUCUAAGAAUUUUUUUUCAAACAAUUUUUAGUGGGUUGUGGUGUUCAUCUCCGUUUCUUACUGUACAAAUACUUUUCUGUUAAAUUUAAAGGUUACUCUCUAAAGCUUAGUAGGUGUGCUUUCAUUUUCACACUGAUAACUAAAAUCCACAUCAUUACUAAUCAUAGACAUGCAUAUGUGUUGAUUAUAAAGUGAUAUUGUACAUACCACAAAAUCAGAGAUACAAAAAUAAUCUUUUGUUCUUUUUAAAAAACUUAAUGUAGAAAUAUCAUAAAAUGAAGUUAAAUUGAGUAAAUCUUAAGACAUCACUUAGUCAAGCUCCUUGCAUCAAAUCAAGCCCAUGAUUAUAUAAGUGUAUAGAAAAGCCCACAAAAAAUUAAAAAGAAAGCUUUUCAGUGGAAAACCUGACAGACACCUUAUCCAAAAGAUCAAAGUUUUAACAUCACCAGUAAUAGAACAAAUAGGUUUCAUGUGUCUUCUGAUGUAAUGCACUAAGGAGUGAGCACUAUCACUCCUGAGGCAUUUUUGCCAAAAACAUAUAAACGGGAAUAAAUCAUGAAGAAAUAUCAGACAAACCCAAAUUAAGGGACAUUAUGCAACAUAAAUGGCCUGUACUUUUCAAAAUGUCUAGGUCAUGAAAGAAAAGGACUAAGAAACUGCCCAGAUUAAAGGAAACCAGAGACUUGACAACUAAAUGCCACAUGUAAUCAUGGAUUAGAUACUGGAGCAGAAAUAACAAUACUAAUAAAUAAUUACUGUUACUGCUGUAAAGAACAUUAUUGAGACAAUUAGCAAAAUUUGAAUGGGGCUUGUGAAUUACAAAGCAGUAUCAUAUCAAAACUGAUUUUCUGUUUUUGAUUGUUAUAAUGUGGUUAUGUAGAAAAGUAUUAUAUUUUUGAAAAUGUACAUUGUAGUAUAUGGGAGUAAAAAGGAUCAUGUUGGAAAUUUAUUCUCAAACGGUUUACAAAACAGUAUGUAUGUGUGUGUGUGUUUGUGUGUGUACAUACACACACAUUGUGUAAAGUAAACAAGAUAAAAUUUUAAUAUUUGGUGAAUAGAGGUGAAAGAUAUAUAGUAAAUUUUGUACAGUGUUUGCAACUUUUCUGAAGUCAGAAAUUAGUUCAAAUUUUUUUUAAAUAUUGCUUUGGCUUCCUAUUUUACCUGUAGUUAACUGUGUCAAAAAUAUGCUAAUUAUGUUAUCAACACCCAGGGUUUUUGUAAUCUCGCAAUAUUGAAAUCAAGAGACAUCACAGAACACAGCAGCAAAGGUAAGUUUUGUUUUUUUUUUUUGAGGCGGAGUCUCGCGGUAGCCCAGGCUGGAAUGCAGUGGCGCGAUCUCGGCUCACUGCAGGCUCCGCCCCUCUGGGGUUCACGCCAUUCUCCUGCCUCAGCCUCGCGAGUAGCUGGGACUACAGGCGCCCGCCACCUCGCCUGGCUAAUUUUUUGUAUUUUUGGUAGAGACGGGGUUUCACCGUGUUAGCCAGGAUGGUCUUGAUCUCCUGACCUCGUGAUCCGCCCGCCUCGGCCUCCCAAAGUGCUGGGAUUACAGGCGUGAGCCACCGCGCCCCGGCAGCAAAGGUAAGUUUAAUUUUAUUCCAGCUUGUGCUCAAGGGAGCUAGCACUGAGAAAGGAAAAAGGAGUUGGCUGUUCCCUGAGGGUAGUGUGUGGGUUAAUUUAAUAGGCUCUUUUCAUAGGGAAAGGUUAUAUUAGGGCAUAUAUAGGACAGCUUUUUCUAGUGCUUGCACAGUAGCUCAACAUGCUUCUCCAUACAUUACAUGUAGCAUUAGCAUUUAAAAUCUCCACCCUUGUGUGUGAAUUUUAGCAUUAAAAUGAGGAAGAGAUAACUUUAGGUUGGAUUUUUUUUUUUUUUUUUUUUUUUGCAGAUGGAGUCUUGCUCUGUCACCCAGGCUGGAGUGCAGUGGUGCGAUCUCAGCUCACUGCAGCCUCCGCCUCCCGGGUUCAAGUGAUUCUCCUGCCUCAUCCUCCUGAGUAGCUGGGAUUAUAGGCAUGCGCCACCACACCCGGCUAAUUUUUGUAUUUUUAUUAGAGACGGGGUUUCACCAAGUUGGUCAGGCUGUUCUCGAACUCCUGACUUCGUGAUCUGUCUUCCUUGCUCUCCCAGCGUGCUGGGAUUACAGGUGUGAGCCACUGUGCCCGGCCACUUUAGGUUGGAUUUAAAGUCCAACUGCACGUGCAAGGCUCUGGGGAAAUCCCUACCCCGCUGAAAUAGGAGCUUGCUGUUAAGUUUCUUGGGUCUCUUGUCACUGAUUGGCUGAAAGUUAAAUAAGCUAGUGUUUGAGUGAGGGGCUUUAUCGUUUCCUUUAGACCAUCUUAAAAUAGGGACUCAACCAGCCUGCUUGUCUUAAUCAUAUAAAUUUAUUUAAAAUUAUCUUAAUAAACCAGAACGUGGAGACUAUUUUUUUAAAAGAAUUAUUUGUCGAAGUAUUACAUUUUUAGUAAGUUAUCUCUUUUUCUUCUGUAGCUUCCUCAUUUUUAAAUUUAAACCAGACAAAAAGUUUCAGUAUACAGCAUAAAGAACAUUUGAUGAAAAUUUGAUGGAAGUAAUUUAAACAACUAUAAAUACAUUAAUUUAUAUCAAUUUUUGAUUAUGGGAGAGUAAUAAUCCUUUAUUACAAGUUGAAACAUCCCCUGAAUACAUUAGAAUGAAUGCUACUGAAAACAGAAAUAAUUUUUACAAUUAUCUGCCACAUAUCAUAAUGCCUCAGACAAAUUUUGUGUAUGCAUAUAGAAGAUGAAAAAUUAUUUCCUAAUACACUCCUAGGUUUUCUGGUUAGAGUCCUCUAAAUUAAAUUGACAAAAGGCAGAAAAAUAAGGGGAAAAAAACACAAAAGUUUAUUAACAUAUGCAUUGUGCAUGUAACAUAUACCCAGAGAUGAGUAACUCAAAGGUUUGGUUAGAACUUGGACUUAUAUAGGAUUUCAGCAAAGAAACAAUUUUUAGAAAAAUGACAAGAGUCUCUAGGAGUGGCAGAUUGUGCGAAGGCAAAUAUAUGGGAAACUAGGUAAAUAAAGGCUAGUUUGCAAAGUUUGUUAUAUACAGUCCUCUGAUUCUGUCUGCAGGCUGUAAGGGUCUAAAGCUGUCUCUGGUAAUUAAGUUUUGUCCUUCCUUGUAGAAAGCGGGGGACAACUUUGUAAAUUUAUGUCCUGCUUUUAGAUGACAGAAGAACAGAGAGCUUUUCUUGUAUCUUUUUCUUCUCAAUUGCCUUCAGCACAAAGUAAUCCUUGUGCCAAAGUGGAAAAGUUUGCUGUGGCAUAUUCUGCCACCCUACCAUAGCUAGGAUAGAAUACAUCUGUACGUGAAGGUCUUUGAGGGCAGAGGCCAGAUUAAUUUGUAGAGUUUUACUGCCAUCACCUAACCUAGUGCUUGACAUGGAGAAGGGGCUUGGUAAACAAUUGAAUGAAUUAAUGAAUUUGGUUGUGCCUUCCAUAUUUUCCGCACAACACUCUUGAAGU
This 6430-nucleotide long non-coding RNA is filed under the name Homo sapiens (human). RNAcentral's name for it is "HSALNT0112608". The record is from RNAcentral. Lineage: Eukaryota; Metazoa; Chordata; Mammalia; Primates; Hominidae.